CCUACGGGAGGCACCAGUGAGGAAUAUUGGACAAUGGGAGCAAUCCUGAUCCAGCCAUGCCGCGUGCAGGAAGACUGCCCUAUGGAUUGUAAACUGCUUUUACAGAGGAAGAACCACUCCCACGUGUGGGGGUUUGACGGUACUCUGCGAAUAAGGAUCGGCUAACUCCGUGCCAGCAGCCGCGGUAAUACGGAGGAUCCAAGCGUUAUCCGGAAUCAUUGGGUUUAAAGGGUCCGUAGGCGGGAUGAUAAGUCAGUGGUGAAAGUCUGCAGCCUAACUGUAGAAUUGCCAUUGAAACUGUUGUUCUUGAGUUAUUAUGAAGUGGUUAGAAUGAGUAGUGUAGCGGUGAAAUGCAUAGAUAUUACUCAGAAUACCGAUUGCGAAGGCAGAUCACUAAUAAUACACUGACGCUGAUGGACGAAAGCGUAGGUAGCGAACAGGAUUAGAUACCCUGGUAGUCUACGCCGUAAACGAUGGUUGCUAGCUGUCCGGACCAAUUGCGGUCUGGGUGGUUAAGCGAAAGUGAUAAGUAACCCACCUGGGGAGUACGUUCGCAAGAAUGAAACUCAAAGGAAUUGACGG
This 582-nucleotide ribosomal RNA is filed under the name uncultured bacterium. Its description in RNAcentral is "bacterial SSU rRNA". It matches the Rfam family "Bacterial small subunit ribosomal RNA", at positions 338 to 916 of the family's 1533-position model. The record is from RNAcentral.